UUUGUUGGGGUGGAAGUGCAGUUUUUUUAAUCACAAAAUGUAAAUGUCAUCUUUGACCACCCCUAAAUAAUUCGCAAAUGUUAUGCAACAUGAUAUAGCCCUGAAAUGCACGGGAUUUUCUCUCUUGGGGAGGUUGAUUAGAGUAGUUAAUGGCAGAAGAUUUGGUGCCUCUUAAAUAAACAAAGCUGUCUUUAAAUAUAUUUUUCAUUAGGAUGGAUGAAUGAAAUGGACGACACACGAAAGGAACUUGGUUUCAUAAACAGGACAGAAAGAGACGAGAUGUGUGAAGGAACGUACAACAUCUGUCUCCUCAACCCAUACAAGAAAUCGUUUCCGCUCGCGCAGUUUCCCGGUCCCACCAACAAGCUGAGCAUAUUUUGAAGAACUUGCGGCAGGAAGAGGAGACAGCAGCCACCCCCUGGACUUGACUAAAGACAACUCUCCUUUGGCUCUGAGACCUGACCACAUGGUUGAUGCACAGAUACUUUGCCUGUCAUUCCAAAGCCUUCAGAUGGAAAAUUCUGCCUUUAAAUUCAAAAUCAUAUCAACUAUGGCCUGGAAAUUUCCGUGGGGACGUUUCUUCAAUCACAGGGGAAGCAGCAUCAGGAAUACUCCUUUGACACAGCUUAUUAUGUAUUCAAACCUCAGAAUUAGGGGUUGCUAAGCCUCCAGUAUUGUUCUGAAGACCCCAGGGAUUGAAGGUUAAUCUCCUGGAUACUGCUGCAAGCAAGUCAGGCAAAAAGCAAACAAGCAUCAGGUGUUCAACUCCAGUUUUCUUCAAACACUUACACCUAAACAAUGCUAGAAAUGUUGGAGAUGGAGGAGUGAGAACAGUUUAGACUGAGAGACAAGUGUCAUCCAAUUGGAUAAUGAAGAGGCCGUUUGCUUUCUGAGUGGCUGUGGGAAGGUAGGUCUCUGUGAGAAUGAAUGAAUGGCCAAUGGUGGCAGUGUUGGGUCGGGCAGUUGUAAGCUGGAGCUCAUCUGACAAACAUUUCAGAAAUGCAUCAUGGGUUGGCAUCUAGCACUGUUAUCAGCCCAAUCAGAUCAAACCUGCCCUAAUUAUGGUUGCCACCAAACAAAGAUCUGCUUUUACAUCAUGCCCAAAUCAAAUUAAAUGUGGAUAAAUUGUCAAAAGGGACAGAAUCUGGAAGCACCUCUUUGUACUAAACUACAAAGUUUGCUGUUGAUUUUCUGGUCUUCCAGUGCAAAGAUUUGUUCCUGACCAAGUGUUUCAGACUAGUAUAGUCACGUCUCGAGGACUAGUAGCUGUAGGAUACAAUAAAGACACAAUGGGGAAAGACCUGCUGGAACACAUGCAAAACCCCCUGGGCUAUGUGUCUGGCAUUAACUGAAUGUCCCACAUAUUCCAAUGGCCAGAUAAUCAUUGGUGCUGCAUAGGCAAGGCAUGCAUUGGGACCAUGUGGAAUCCCAGGUGCAGCUGACUGUGUGGAAAUUGAAAAUUCUGAUGGAUAAUUCCUUUGCAUUUAGAACCCUCCAUUCAUUGAAGUCUAAGAACUCACUUAACCUUAUGGGUUAUCUUGGAAAAAAUCUGAGAGCUUAAAAACCUCUUCCAAGUGUUCAAGGGUAAUGGCAUCCAAAGAACUGGGUCAAGAGAUGCCUACAGGGACAGCAUCAGAAAUACUCUACACGCCCUGACACACUACCCUGCAUCAGAAACACAUCGGAACUCACUACGAGACUUCUACGACCACUGGGCAGCAGAGUGGCACACAAGCCCAUAUCAACCCUACAACAACUGCUCACCCGAACUAAAGACCCACUCCCCGCCAUGGACAGGACCAAUGUCAUCUACAAGAUCCCCUGCAGAGACUGUGAGAAACGCUACAUCGAACAAACAAGAAGGAAACUAACCACAAGAGUACACGAACACCAACUGGCCACAAAAAGGCACGACCAAUACUCACUCAUCUCAAUCCACACGGACAAGGAGAACCAUGACUUUGACUGGGACAACACCAUGAUCCCGAGACAGGCUAGGCAGAGACAGGCACGAGAAUUCCUUGAAGCAUGGCACUCCACGAAGCAGGCUAUUAAUAAUACAUUGAACUCGACCCCAUAUACAUUCCACUAUAGAGGAAUCCGGGAAGUGAGGCAAUCCAUCACAACGGACCCCAGAGUUUAAAAACCAGGUGGGGAAACACACGACGCUUCGUCAGAGGCUGCACUGAGGACGUUACCAAGCACAGUAAUGAAACGUCUGCGGAACAACAAACCAGCUCAGUGAGCCAACCAACUUCAACACCCACAACCCAAGCUACAAAUCUGCUCCAAAACCUUAGUUUAAAAACCUACUCCAACUCAGGGGCAGCUAUUAAAUUGAAACACCCAACUCAGUACUCCUACUUCAACCCCACAGCCAUCCAAUUCAACUCAUCCCCCACCCUCCCCAACGCAGACAAACCCCUUGCAGGUUCAACAGCAGACCCUUCCUCGUCCUAAUCCCCAACCUGACCCGACAUUACCUUCCUCCCAGAUCUGACCCAACUCUAAGUCCUACCAUGACCUACCCUAAACACUCAUCCACUUGUCUGGCACCCUAACAUCAGCCCCAUCCUACCACAUCACUUACCCUUUCACAAUAGCUGUUCAGGUGUCUGCUGGACAGUGAAACUACAGUAUAUGCCACUCAGUGCUGCAACAGAGGGAACAGUUUCUACAAACAUCUUCACUAUGGAUUCCUGAAAAGGUUUAAAACAGAGGACUACAAUCCAGGACUCUCAAGUGCAGUAUACAUAUGAAGGGGAGUGGAUUCUCUUUAGGAUUGGAAAUAUUAUAAGCAUAUCUUACACUCUAAGUGUAGGGGAGCACCUCUGAGUGGUAUGUG
This is a long non-coding RNA of Stegostoma tigrinum, 2845 nucleotides long. RefSeq lists it as uncharacterized. Lineage: Eukaryota; Metazoa; Chordata; Chondrichthyes; Orectolobiformes; Stegostomatidae. The record is from RefSeq and is a predicted model, not a curated record. The transcript has 4 exons.